This 229-nucleotide ribosomal RNA is filed under the name uncultured bacterium. RNAcentral's name for it is "partial 16S ribosomal RNA". It matches the Rfam family "Bacterial small subunit ribosomal RNA", at positions 568 to 796 of the family's 1533-position model. The record is from RNAcentral.
CGUGUAGGCGGCUUGGCAAGUCGGAUGUGAAAUCCCGGGGCCCAACCCCGGAACUGCAUUCGAAACUGCCUGGCUGGAGUCCCGGAGAGGAAGGCGGAAUUCCCGGUGUAGAGGUGAAAUUCGUAGAUAUCGGGAGGAACACCAGUGGCGAAGGCGGCCUUCUGGACGGUGACUGACGCUGAGACGCGAAAGCGUGGGGAGCAAACAGGAUUAGAUACCCUGGUAGUCC